This 507-nucleotide ribosomal RNA is filed under the name Stolothrissa tanganicae. Its description in RNAcentral is "partial 12S ribosomal RNA". It matches the Rfam family "Bacterial small subunit ribosomal RNA", at positions 796 to 1527 of the family's 1533-position model. The record is from RNAcentral. Lineage: Eukaryota; Metazoa; Chordata; Actinopteri; Clupeiformes; Clupeidae.
CCUGCCGUAAACUUAGAUACUUCCCCACAACAAGUAUCCGCCUGGGCACUACGAGCGCCAGCUUAAAACCCAAAGGACUUGGCGGUGCUUCAGACCCCCCUAGAGGAGCCUGUUCUAGAACCGAUAACCCCCGUUCAACCUCACUACUCCUUGCUUUUCCCGCCUAUAUACCGCCGUCGCCAGCUUACCCUGUGAAGGAGUCACAGUAAGCAGGAUGGGCAAUGCCCAGAACGUCAGGUCGAGGUGUAGCGUACGGAGUAGGAAGAAAUGGGCUACAUUAUCUGAAGCAGAUUAAAUAACGAAGAGUUACCUGAAACCGGUGACUUGAAGGUGGAUUUAGCAGUAAGGGGAGAAUAGAGCGCCCCCCUGAAGCCGGCUCUGAAGCGCGCACACACCGCCCGUCACUCUCCCCAACAACAUCUAUACAUGGUAUAUAACACAGCAAAAGCUACAAGGGGAGGCAAGUCGUAACAUGGUAAGUGUACCGGAAGGUGCACUUGGAAUAAC